GACGAACGCUGGCGGCGUGCUUAACACAUGCAAGUCGAACGGAAAGGCCCUGCCUUUGUGGGGUGCUCGAGUGGCGAACGGGUGAGUAACACGUGAGUAACCUGCCCUUUACUUUGGGAUAACUUCAGGAAACUGGGGCUAAUACCGGAUAGGAGCUCCUGCUGCAUGGUGGGGGUUGGAAAGUUUCGGCGGUUGGGGAUGGACUCGCGGCUUAUCAGCGUGUGGGUGGGGUAGUGGCUUACCAAGGCUUUGACGGGUAGCCGGCGUGAGAGGGUGACCGGCCACAUUGGGACAGAGAUACGGCCGAGACUCCUGCGGGGGACAGCAGUGGGGUAUAUUGCACAAUGGGCGGAAGCGUUGUGCAGCAGCGGCGCGUGCGGGAUGACGGCCUUCGGUGUGUAAACCGCUUUCGCCUGUGACGAAGUGUGAGUGACGGUAAUGUGUAAAGAAGCACCGGCUAACUACGUG
Molecule: ribosomal RNA, 468 nt
Filed under: uncultured bacterium
Lineage: Bacteria
Description: partial 16S ribosomal RNA
Rfam family: Bacterial small subunit ribosomal RNA
Source: RNAcentral